RNAcentral lists this long non-coding RNA (1099 nucleotides) under Zea mays. RNAcentral's name for it is "long non-coding RNA (ZMAY_LNC002383)". Lineage: Eukaryota; Viridiplantae; Streptophyta; Magnoliopsida; Poales; Poaceae. The record is from RNAcentral.
ACUCUGGAAUCUUUUAUGCUAUCCUUGUCAAACUCAAGAAUUCCCUACCAUAUAUCGCACAGAGGGAACUUCAGCAGAAGCUAUUCUAGACACUAGUAGAACUGAACAAUUUCACAAUCCCCUGUCCACCUAUGUCGGUGCAAAAUUCAUCCUCAGCCAUAAAAUUGGGCACCUGUUUUCGCACUAGACCCAAAACCCUAGGUGGACAUCUAAUCAAGCAGGUGCACAGAUGGCAAAGUGAUGAGCCGGCAAAUGCUACCGAGACACCACAUCAUACCAAGCUCCCCCAGCACCCCAGGCUAAUCGCCCAGUCUAGCAGCAGCAAAUAGUGAACCAUUCAGGCAUCACUUGUAACAGUCGAUCAGAGUGGGGCAACAACCUCGGCAAAUUCGGCCUGGCGGCCAGGGUUGUGCUGCGACUCGGGGCGGAUCUCGAUGUCGGCGGACUCAUCAACAAUCUCCUGCAUGGUGUUCUGGAUGAACUCGUCGAAGGAAUCGAGCUGCUGGCGCACGAGGCCCUUCUCCUCGAAGUAGGCGGAUAUGACGGCCCAGGCGUCGUCCUGAGUGAUAUCCUCCUACUGCUCAGCGUCCCCGUCCGCAUCCUCAUCCAUCUCUUCCCCGCCCCCGCCACCGUACCCCACCUCGUCGUCCUCCUCCGCGUCGUACCCCCCGUGGGCACCUGUUUCCGCACUAGACCCAAAACCCUAGGUGGACAUCUAAUCAAGCAGGUGUACAGAUGGCAAAGUGAUGAGCCGGCAAAUGCUACCGAGACACCACGUCAUACCAAGCGCCAUCAUCUUCUCGAGGAGGUCCAUGGCGUCGGUCCCUCUCAGCGCGGGGCGGUGGUAGCGACGGUGUGGCAAGAAGGAAGAGGGCGAGAUGGGGGUUGUGCGAGCUACGGCGGCAGGGAGAGGAAGUGGACGGCACCUCAGCAGGGACGGCCGGUGAGCGGGCGAGGAGGAGGAGGAGGUGGACGGCCGAUGAUCCGGAGAGCGGUGGCGCGGCGGCGGCGCGGUCUGCUGGUGAGAGAGAGAAGCGCGUGGGUGGGAAUGAGACAGGUGAGAGAGAGAGCCGCGCGUGGGAUUAGAUUUAGCUUUUCA